This 301-nucleotide ribosomal RNA is filed under the name uncultured bacterium. RNAcentral's name for it is "partial 16S ribosomal RNA". It matches the Rfam family "Bacterial small subunit ribosomal RNA", at positions 509 to 807 of the family's 1533-position model. The record is from RNAcentral.
CAGUAGCCACGGUAAUACAGAGGGUGCGAGCGUUAAUCGGAUUUACUGGGCGUAAAGCGUGCGUAGGCGGCUUCUUAAGUCGGAUGUGAAAUCCCUGAGCUUAACUUAGUAAUUGCAUUCGAUACUGGGAAGCUAGAGUAUGGGAGAGGAUGGUAGAAUUCCAGGUGUAGCGGUGAAAUGCGUAGAGAUCUGGAGGAAUACCGAUGGCGAAGGCAGCCAUCUGGCCUAAUACUGACGCUGAGGUACGAAAGCAUGGGGAGCAAACAGGAUUAGAUACCCGAGUAGUCCCUGUCUCUUAUAC